AGUGAACGCUGGCGGUAGGCCUAACACAUGCAAGUCGAACGGCAGCACAGUAAGAGCUUGCUCUUACGGGUGGCGAGUGGCGGACGGGUGAGGAAUACAUCGGAAUCUACUUUUUCGUGGGGGAUAACGUAGGGAAACUUACGCUAAUACCGCAUACGACCUACGGGUGAAAGCAGGGGAUCUUCGGACCUUGCGCGAUUGAAUGAGCCGAUGUCGGAUUAGCUAGUUGGCGGGGUAAAGGCCCACCAAAGCGACGAUCCGUAGCUGGUCUGAGAGGAUGAUCAGCCACACUGGAACUGAGACACGGUCCAGACUCCUACGGGAGGCAGCAGUGGGGAAUAUUGGACAAUGGGCGCAAGCCUGAUCCAGCCAUACCGCGUGGGUGAAGAAGGCCUUCGGGUUGCAAAGCCCUUUUGUUGGGAAAGAAAAGCAGCAGGUUAAUACCCCGCUGUUCUGACGGUACCCAAAGAAUAAGCACCGGCUAACUUCGUG
This 492-nucleotide ribosomal RNA is filed under the name uncultured bacterium. RNAcentral describes it as "partial 16S ribosomal RNA". It matches the Rfam family "Bacterial small subunit ribosomal RNA", at positions 29 to 507 of the family's 1533-position model. The record is from RNAcentral.